RNAcentral lists this long non-coding RNA (1381 nucleotides) under Carassius auratus (goldfish). RNAcentral describes it as "lncRNA (ENSCARG00000050003.1)". The record is from RNAcentral. Lineage: Eukaryota; Metazoa; Chordata; Actinopteri; Cypriniformes; Cyprinidae.
AUGCUAACGCGACAGGCCAUGGGUUGGAACAGAAGAAAGAGGGACAACCUUCAUCAAGUGUUAGCCCACAGAUAUGUCAAAAUCACAGAGAGGGCAAAACUGGAAGCUGCCAGCCUUAGCAAAAUCAAGAAGGAGCACAACCUUGAUCAGGAGACAAUACAGCAGUGGGUGUGUGAUGUCAGACAAUGGGCGGUUACAGAGAGAGUCUACACUACAGGUUGUACUGAAGAGCUAAGGGCUGACAUUGAGAACAUCACUGUAACCCUUUUGCGCAAGAAGACAGAUCUGUAUCGUUUACAUGAUAGCAACCAGGCAAGACAAAGAAAGAAAAAGAAAAUGACAGAGUUGAAGAAGAAGCUUCGCGAAAAGGUCUUGCAAUACAACACCGUAGUGGAAGGAGAUCCGAUUGACGAGGAAUUAGCUUGCAGUCUGACAGAGGGAUACAUCCUACCAUGGGAGAGACACAAAGAUGGCAACACGUUCAGGUUGAAGAGAUCUAUCUUCGACCAGGUAAUGCUGCUGAAACGCUUGGAGGAGGAGCAGAGCAUCCUGGUAAAGGAGAUGUCUCAGCACAUCAAGUACCUUCUGAAGCAAGUGCAAGAAGUCGAGUCACUUAGAGGACAGACUUUGGAGCGCAUCAAAACCAGCAGUUUCAGUGACCUGACAGAGGACGCUACACAUGGGCUCAACAGUGUCCUCAGUCGGAGGGGUCACUCACUUAGAAGUCAACACCAACAGGCUGUUAAAGCAUACAGCAGUAUAGCCACUAUGGAAUGUGAUUUUCUUUCCAUACAGGAGGACAUUGAGGAGUGGGAUGACAAUGGGUUCACCAGCCCUGAAUCUGAGGAAGACACCUAAAGACUGCUGCCAAACAACACAGAGGAACUGGAGAUUUGUACAAAAAAAUCUUGCCUUUGUUUUUAAAUAGCUGUACCAAAGUAUCUACAGGAAAGUUUGUGUAGAGUCUGUAUUUUUAUAAAAGGAAAAAAAAAAUAGAAAAACAUUGUUUUAUUUAUCUCUUCUAACAUUUGAGUUUGCUGGUUUCAGACCAAAACUGCUUAUUGCUGCUUUAAAUAAUUAAUUGUCAUAUUUGCAUGGAAAAAUGUAAUGAAGAUUCAAUGGCAGUCUGUGUGUAAUUGUAACAAGUAUAAUACUAAUGCUUUUUUUUUAUUUCCAUAAUAUAUUUGGAUUUAUAUUUGUUUGCAAUAUGCAUAUGCAUGUACCCAUAUUAUUUUGUAGUUAUUUGUAGUUAUAGCAUACUUUAUGUUUUCUAUAUCUACAUGUAAAUACAGACAGACAAAUCCAAACAUUUUUCACUUACAUCCUGUAAAACUGUAUAAAGAAAUGUCUUGCAUAUGCACAACUUUAAUAAACCCAUUUA